UAGAAGGCAGAAUUGUCAGGUGUAUCACAGA
RNAcentral lists this non-coding RNA (31 nucleotides) under Homo sapiens (human). Lineage: Eukaryota; Metazoa; Chordata; Mammalia; Primates; Hominidae. The record is from RNAcentral.